GGAAGGAUCAUUACCGAGUUGAUUCGAGCUCCGGCUCGACUCUCCCACCCUUUGUGUACCUACCUCUGUUGCUUUGGCGGGCCCGCGGUUCGGCCUCGUGCCGUCCAGCACCCGCCAGAGGACCACAAAACUCCAGUCAGUGAACGUCUCAGUCUGAAAAACAAGUUAAUAAACUAAAACUUUCAACAACGGAUCUCUUGGUUCUGGCAUCGAUGAAGAACGCAGCGAAAUGCGAUAAGUAAUGUGAAUUGCAGAAUUCAGUGAAUCAUCGAAUCUUUGAACGCACAUUGCGCCCCUUGGUAUUCCGGGGGGCAUGCCUGUUCGAGCGUCAUUUCAACCCUCAAGCUCUGCUUGGUAUUGGGCUCCGUCCUCAGGGACGCGCCUCAAAGACCUCGGCGGUGGCGUCUUGCCUCAAGCGUAGUAGAAAACACCUCGCUUUGGAGCGCACGGCGUCGCCCGCCGGACGAACCUUUGAAUUUUUCUCAAGGUUGACCUCGGAUC
This 501-nucleotide ribosomal RNA is filed under the name Dothiorella iberica. Its description in RNAcentral is "eukaryotic LSU rRNA". The stretch from base 178 to 331 matches the Rfam family "5.8S ribosomal RNA". The record is from RNAcentral. Lineage: Eukaryota; Fungi; Ascomycota; Dothideomycetes; Botryosphaeriales; Botryosphaeriaceae.